GUCCACGCCGUAAACGAUGAUAACUAGCUGUCCGGGCUCAUGGAGCUUGGGUGGCGCAGCUAACGCAUUAAGUUAUCCGCCUGGGGAGUACGGUCGCAAGAUUAAAACUCAAAGGAAUUGACGGGGGCCUGCACAAGCGGUGGAGCAUGUGGUUUAAUUCGAAGCAACGCGCAGAACCUUACCAGCCUUUGACAUCCUAGGACGACUUCUGGAGACAGAUUUCUUCCCUUCGGGGACCUAGUGACAGGUGCUGCAUGGCU
Molecule: ribosomal RNA, 260 nt
Filed under: uncultured bacterium
Lineage: Bacteria
Description: partial 16S ribosomal RNA
Rfam family: Bacterial small subunit ribosomal RNA
Source: RNAcentral